Molecule: long non-coding RNA, 1038 nt
Organism: Priapulus caudatus
Lineage: Eukaryota; Metazoa; Priapulida; Priapulimorpha; Priapulimorphida; Priapulidae
Exons: 3
Source: RefSeq, a predicted model, not a curated record
AUGUUUGUUACCGUGUGGUAUUUUUCUCUCUCAAUCGUACACAUACAAUACUAUCAAACGUUUGUUAUCGCGUGUUGUGUACUCAAGUGAUUUUUUUUCAUCUCAUAGAAUAAAGAUAUUAUUUGUUUAAUUUAGACACACCUCAAUCAGCUAUCUUUUUAUUAAUAACCCUACUACAGAUGAAAUAAGGAGUGUCCCUAUUGGCACUCACAACUUAGAAAGUUGCUUUGUCAUCACCCAUAUCGCCUAUAUACCCUGUAGCGCUAUACUAUAUACACUCGCAACAAAAAUCCGUCAGUUUAACUUUUCAGAUUAUUAAAUACUUGUAAGCUGAAACAACACAAACAAAUAACAGAUUCUAUCUCGAUCUAAAAACGUAAAGCGAAAAUUUAUUAAUCAGCCAGGAAGUCAUGCAGUUCGUUGUUUUCCUCUUCUCGAAACGUUUAUUCGUUCAUUUAGCUUUGUGUUCUUCGUUCUCCGUCGUAAAAUCACAACCAGGUGGCGCCACACAGCGGCAUUACGUGACCUCCGCACGAGCGAGUGAUCUCGCGGCGACCUUCACUCGACAGGUUGUCACUCAACAGUCAGACAGGUUGUCACUCAACAGUCAGACAGGUUGUCACUCAACAGUCAGACAGGUUGUCACUCAACAGUCAGACAGGUUGUCACUCAACAGUCAGGCAGGUUGUCACUCAACAGUCAGGCAGGUUGUCACUCAACAGUCAGGCAGGUUGUCACUCAACAGUCAGACAGGUUGUCACUCAACAGUCAGGCAGGUUGUCACUCAACAGUCAGGCAGGUUGUCACUCAACAGUCAGGCAGUUUGUCGUUUUCCUCUUCUCAGAACUCAUUUCGUGUCGGUUCUUCGGUCUUCGUCUUAAAAUCACAACCAGGUGGCGCAUGUGACCUUCACUCGACUUCUCGCGUCUCCAGGCGCCAGCAGAACUCCGCAGACGUAGUGUAUCUGCAUAGAAGUCGCCACACCUUACGCACGGCACUUCACUCGACCUUCUCCCGUCCUCCCGCCGCCGCUCCUCC